GAGUUUGAUCCUGGUUCAGGAUGAACGCUGGCGGCGUGCCUAACACAUGCAAGUCGAGCGGUAUAUACUUUAUCAAAUCUUCGGAAGAGAGACGGUAUAGAGAGCGGCGGACGGGUGAGUAACGCGUAGGCAACCUGCCCCAUACAGAGGGAUAGCCUCGGGAAACCGGGAUUAAAACCUCAUAACGCCAAGAGUUCACAUGGACUUUUGGCCAAAGAUUUAUCGGUAUGGGAUGGGCCUGCGUCUGAUUAGCUAGUUGGUGGGGUAACGGCCUACCAAGGCAACGAUCAGUAGCCGACCUGAGAGGGUAAUCGGCCACAUUGGAACUGAGACACGGUCCAAACUCCUACGGGAGGCAGCAGUGGGGAAUAUUGCACAAUGGGCGAAAGCCUGAUGCAGCAACGCCGCGUGAGCGAUGAAGGCCUUUGGGUCGUAAAGCUCUGUCCUUGGGGAAGAAAAAAAUGACGGUACCC
This 473-nucleotide ribosomal RNA is filed under the name uncultured Anaerovorax sp. RNAcentral's name for it is "bacterial SSU rRNA". It matches the Rfam family "Bacterial small subunit ribosomal RNA", at positions 9 to 480 of the family's 1533-position model. The record is from RNAcentral. Lineage: Bacteria; Bacillati; Bacillota; Clostridia; Peptostreptococcales; Anaerovoracaceae.